GAUGAACGCUGGCGGCGUGCUUAACACAUGCAAGUCGAACGGACGUUUUGGGCAACUGAGACGUUAGUGGCAAACGGGUGCGUAACACGUGGGUGACCUACCCCAAAGUGGGGAACAACGGACCGAAAGGUUCGCUAAUACCGCAUAAGUUCGGUCCUUCGGUGGGCCGAAUAAAGGCGCAAGUCGCUUUGGGAGGGGCCCGCGGCCCAUCAGGUAGUUGGUGAGGUAAAAGCCCACCAAGCCGAUGACGGGUAGCUGGUCUGAGAGGAUGAUCAGCCACACUGGCACUGAGAUACGGGCCAGACUCCUACGGGUGGCUG
Molecule: ribosomal RNA, 320 nt
Filed under: uncultured Chloroflexota bacterium
Lineage: Bacteria; Bacillati; Chloroflexota
Description: bacterial SSU rRNA
Rfam family: Bacterial small subunit ribosomal RNA
Source: RNAcentral